ACAUACCAUUCACCAGUGCAGCCCAUGGGCCAGAGAACUGCAGAGAAGCCUUUUCUGCUCCACAGGGAAGCUCUCCACCAGGCAAGCCACAUGCUCACCAGCUGCAUCUAUGCUCACCUUUGUCCUCCUCGUGUUCCUGCACCUGCUCUCGAACUCAUGCAUCCUUCCCAGGUCCCUGCUUGGCCUGCCAUCAGCCCCUGUCCUGCACUAAAGUGACAAAAAAAGAACAAUGUCACCACUUUCUUUAUAUCGUGGUGAUUCUUUAACAGAGGGUCAUGACACCGGUUCAGCCCCAUUGCUCUUUGGAGAGAAUGAAGAAGGUCUAAUCCCCAGAGAGGAGGAGGAUUCUCUCUCCUUUGGAUUUCAGACCAGCCACCCAUCCCCUGGUGAUAGAUUUUAGCACCUCUCUCCUGUCUGUGCUGGACAUGAACAAUGAGCAGCAACCUCCCCCCCAAAUUCCUUUCCCUCAAGUGAGAGAGAAGACAGAUGGCAAGGAGCAUAUUUGAAGCAUUUUAACCUUGUCCACAUGUUAUAACAUUAUAAAAAGAGUAGAAAA
This is a long non-coding RNA of Tupaia belangeri chinensis (Chinese tree shrew), 556 nucleotides long. RefSeq lists it as uncharacterized. The transcript has 3 exons. NCBI's taxonomy places the organism in Eukaryota, Metazoa, Chordata, Mammalia, Scandentia, Tupaiidae. The record is from RefSeq and is a predicted model, not a curated record.